Molecule: ribosomal RNA, 348 nt
Filed under: Pogostemon cablin (patchouli)
Lineage: Eukaryota; Viridiplantae; Streptophyta; Magnoliopsida; Lamiales; Lamiaceae
Description: eukaryotic LSU rRNA
Rfam family: Eukaryotic large subunit ribosomal RNA (bases 286-348)
Source: RNAcentral
UAACCAUCGAGUCUUUGAACGCCAGUUGCGCCCGAAGCCACUAGGCCGAGGGCACGCCUGCCUGGGUGUCACGCAUCGCGUCGCCCCCUCCCCGCGCCCAAACGCGCGGCGGUGGUGGAAAGUGGUCCCCCGUGCGCGGUGUCGCGCGGUCGGCCCAAAUGUGAUCCCCGGCGACGCACGUCACGACAAGUGGUGGUUGUACCCUCAACGCGCUUUGUCGUGCACCACCGUGUCGGGACGCAUGAUCAGACCCAAUGGCACGUGCGAGCACGUCGCCUUCGACCGCGACCCCAGGUCAGGCGGGAUCACCCGCUGAGUUUAAGCAUAUCAAUAAGCGGAGGAAAAGAA